RNAcentral lists this ribosomal RNA (468 nucleotides) under uncultured bacterium. Its description in RNAcentral is "partial 16S ribosomal RNA". It matches the Rfam family "Bacterial small subunit ribosomal RNA", at positions 28 to 507 of the family's 1533-position model. The record is from RNAcentral.
GACGAACGCUGGCGGCGUGCUUAACACAUGCAAGUCGAACGGAAAGGCCCUGCUUUUGUGGGGUGCUCGAGUGGCGAACGGGUGAGUAACACGUGAGUAACCUGCCCUUGACUUUGGGAUAACUUCAGGAAACUGGGGCUAAUACCGGAUAGGAGCUCCUGCUGCAUGGUGGGGGUUGGAAAGUUUCGGCGGUUGGGGAUGGACUCGCGGCUUAUCAGCUUGUUGGUGGGGUAGUGGCUUACCAAGGCUUUGACGGGUAGCCGGCCUGAGAGGGUGACCGGCCACAUUGGGACUGGGAUACGGCCCAGACUCCUACGGGAGGCAGCAGUGGGGAAUAUUGCACAAUGGGCGGAAGCCUGAUGCAGCAACGCCGCGUGCGGGAUGACGGACUUCGGGUUGUAAACCGCUUUCGCCUGUGACGAAGCGUGAGUGACGGUAAUGGGUAAAGAAGCACCGGCUAACUACGUG